UAAGCGGAAUCCGAAAAGCUUCAAAAGAGUAGGAA
This 35-nucleotide non-coding RNA is filed under the name Chryseobacterium populi. RNAcentral describes it as "DUF805b RNA". It matches the Rfam family "DUF805b RNA". From Rfam's summary of the family: Bacteroidetes, Chlorobi (1 example), Proteobacteria. Lineage (Flavobacteria) The record is from RNAcentral. Lineage: Bacteria; Pseudomonadati; Bacteroidota; Flavobacteriia; Flavobacteriales; Weeksellaceae.